This 433-nucleotide ribosomal RNA is filed under the name uncultured bacterium. RNAcentral describes it as "partial 16S ribosomal RNA". It matches the Rfam family "Bacterial small subunit ribosomal RNA", at positions 29 to 507 of the family's 1533-position model. The record is from RNAcentral.
AACGAACGCUGGCGGCAUGCCUAACACAUGCCAGUCGAACGAGACCUUCGGGUCUAGUGGCGCACGGGUGCGUAACGCGUGGGAACCUGCCCUUAGGUUCGGAAUAACUCCCCGAAAGGGGUGCUAAUACCGGAUAAUGUCUUCGGACCAAAGAUUUAUCGCCUUUGGAUGGGCCCGCGUUGGAUUAGCUAGUUGGUAGGGUAAAAGCCUACCAAGGCGACGAUUCAUAGCUGGUCUGAGAGGAUGAUCAGCCACACUGGGACUGAGACACGGCCCAGACUCCUACGGGAGGCAGCAGUGGGGAAUAUUGGACAAUGGGCGAAAGCCUGAUCCAGCAAAGCCGCGUGAGUGAUGAAGGCCUUAGGGUUGUAAAGCUCUUUUACCCGGGAUGAUAAUGACAGUACCGGGAGAAUAAGCUCCGGCUAACUCCGUG